GGAGUGGGGGGGUGCGGGGGGAGGAGGUCAGACUCAGCUGGCUUCUCAUUUGUUUUCCAAAGGAGAAAAUGGAAAAGGCACAAAGUGCUGCCAACAAAUGCUACUCUGUUGUCCUGGAGAGAGAGAGGGAUAGAGGUGGUCACCUGGGCUGGGGACAAGAGAGCCACCUGGAAAACCUCUCCCAGCUCUCACCUGGAGAAUCACCCCACAGAAGCAUCAGAGCCCAAAGGAUUUUUGAAUGGGAGGUGGAGGAAAUUUCUUCCUGAGAUGGGGAAACUGAGGCACAGAUGUGGUCUUCUGGAGGUCGGGAAGCCAUCAGUGGAGAGUGGUCUCUGGCUCUACCCCUCUACCCACCUUUGUCCAGGGCCCCUGCCCACUGUUAAUGUUCUGGUAUAUUUCCCUCCAGGCUUUUUCUCCGUGUGUGUGUGUGUGUGUGUGUGUGUGUGUGUGUGUGUGUGUGUGUGUGUGUGUGUGUAUUUUAAAUAACAUUGAGAUGGUGCAGAAUGUAUGCUUCUUGCUUCUUUCAUUUGAUGUUAUACCCAAAUACUUCUCCAUAGCAUUUCAAAGAUUUCAGUAAGUGCAUGAAUCUCUGGGCUUUCCUGUGGUUGGACCUUGAGGUUGUCGCCAGUUUUCCCUGCUGUGGAAAAGGCUGAGUGGGCGAGUGGGCGUCCUCAUGCUGGGAGCCUGGGCUGCUCCCGGGGUCACUCCCUUAGGCUAGAACAUGCUCCUCUCUCCGGGUUCCUAGAUAAUCCCACACCUCUUCCUUCUGGGGUUCCUGGGGGGCGGGAAUCCUGUCUGCUUGAGAGACCUUGAGCAAGGUACUUAACUUUUGAGCAAGGUCCUUAACUAUGCCUCAUCAUCUUCCUCUGUAAAACAGGGUAAUAAUAGGGCCUACCCAGGAGGCUUAUUGUGAGGUUAAAAUAAUACCUGCAGAGCGCUUAGUAAGCAGCGCAGAGGAAUCCCUCAGGAGAUCUUCUCCUCCUGGUUUAUGCUUUUGCUCUCUUCCUGUCCUCAGGCCCAACGAGGUUGUGUAAUUUGCUCACAGUCCCACAGCAGGUCAGUGCCGGCACUGAGAUUUGGGCCCUGGCCCCACCAACCUCUUUGUCUUGAGAACCUAAGCACACAUGACUUCUCACUGAGCCUUGCUUUACCCACGGAAGAGCUCAUGAAAUUAGGCCCUGGAAGUGUUUUGUAAACUCUAAGGUACUGGGUGGUUCCACUUAUUGCCAAUAAUAAUGACAAGACUAGAAAGACCCUGAGUUUUAAAGGCCGAAACUCUAGAAGUUCAGAGGAGGGGAGUGGGCAGGUCUGUGCUACCAGAAAGACUUUCUGGCGGUGGUGGCCUUGUCCUGGGCCUCAGGAGAGUAUACCCUGGGUUUGGCUCAGGCUGACCUUCAGCUGUGAAUCUUAUCCACUGCGCACACUUGUGCACAUGCACGCGCGCGCGCACUCACACGUAACUAUCGCUGUCCAGGCAUUAGGGCUGGUCACCAUUGGUGGAUAAAUUCAGUAAGGCCUAAAAGCCCAAGCUGCUGUUGGUCAGCCAGAGGCAGAGACCACUUCUUCCAGAGGCUAGGGUGGAGGGAUAAUUGAACGGGCAUGGUCACUGCCCCUGGACAUCCUGACCACCCUAUGCUUGCCUGGUGUGAUGGGAGGGGGCUUCCCUCGGCUCUGGGUUAUGCCAGAGUCCCCAGGGGCAGGGCUGGAGUGACCGACUGAUGGGUAGAACUUACUCUCCCCUCAGAGUGUCACCCGGGUCCUGGAACAGGGUGGGAGUAGGGGAGGUAGGGGCCACAGUGCAACCCAGCUGGUUGGGCCUCUCUGGACAAGCUACAGUGGGAGAGCUCCAGAGGCCUGGUCUGGUCUGGUUCUAGCUCAGCUGACUGUCUGCCACCCUGGGGGUCAUGAGACAUUUCCUCUUUGAGCCUCUGUGCCCAUAUAUCAAAUGCGUAGAAAUGGUCCCUUCUCUGCCUCCCUCCUUCAAGAGAGGAUUGAACAUGGACAUUCUAAACUAAUCAGUGCACAUUAAUUACACUGAUACUUGCUUUCAUUCAUCCUCAAAUUCACAAAUGUGAACUGAGCACUUAACUGUGGGUCAGUCUCUGUUGUAGGCAUGGAAGCUGCUGGAACAAGGCAGAAGUGCACCCUCCCUUUUGGAGCUCACAGACUUUGUUAUAUGUCCCUUAGUACCUGGGCAGCUUGCCUGAGUGCAAGCCUGACAUAUAGUAGGUCUUUCAAUAUGCCAAAAAGGAGGCUGCUGAUUGGGGAAUUAGCACCAGGCAGUUUGGUCAGUGCCCUGGUCUAUAGCAGGGAUAGGUCAGGGAGGGUGGAGGACUUAAAAGAAACUUCCAGGAAGAGGCAGAGCAUAAAAGUUAGAUGGCGUUUAAACAGGGCCAAGAGCAAGGAGGGCAGCCCAGGCAGAGGAGCAGUCUACACAAAGAUGGAGAGGUGGGGAGGAGACUGGGGUUGGACAGUGGUGAAGAGACCAGCCUGGCUAGAGGAGAGGCUGGGAGGUCACACACGUAGGCUGCUGGGGGCUGAUUGCACUUCAGGCUUCCCUAGGUCUCUGGUGGCAUGAAUAGAAUUUCUGGCACUAUGGUAAGUGGGGAAGACAGCCUCUUUUGGCUGUGGGGCUUCAAGAGCCCCCAGGAUUUAUCUUCAGCCGAGGCAGGCUCUGGCCCCCUCCUUCCUGCCUCAGCUCCUUGGGGCUCUGGCUGAGGCUGACCUGGCCUUUCCCAGGGUGCCUGGCCCACAGCCCAGUGAGUCAUCUUCUGCACCAGAGGCAGGACACCCCAUCCCACCGACAACACAUGACUGCAGCCCUUCCCCCUGCUCCUGGGUCUGAGGGAGGGAGAGAACAAGAGGGGCUGGAAACAGACCCUGGAUAACUUCCGUUCCCACGAUCCCAGCCCCCCUGCAGGCUGGGGAACUGGGUGGAGGAUAGGGAAGGGAUCCCUGCUUUCCAGUGCUCUGUGCAGGUCAGGAAUCAGAGGCUGAACGGUGGUGGUCCUGGGCCACAGGGCCUGAUUCCCUGAGCACUGGUCUGGUGCUGAGCCAGUGUUAGACAUUUUGAAUGAAAUAACUUUUAGAGCUGGGAGAGGAGGGCCCCUGGAGGUCAUCUCAUUCAUAGGUUUUAAGCCAGGGCUGGGACCACAGGCCAGGCCAGUAUGUAGGCAGAAGUGUGCAUAGGGGAAGGUGGGUGCAUUUCCUGGGAGCCCUAAAGCAGGAGUUGCCAGAUUUAGCAAGUCCUACCUACCCUAAGGCCUCAUGGGAUUACCAGUGGGGUCCUUCUCGACUGCCAAGGGCAGGGCAACCUCCCCUGCUCAGACUCAGAUGUGGGACCCAGAAGAUCUGGGUUCUGGUUUCUCUGCCUGUAAAAUGGGGGUGACAGUCCCAGCCUCUUGGGCUGAGAGGAUGAUUGCAUUCAAAGCUUCUGAGCUCCUAAGAUGUUUUUCACAUCUGUUGGGGGUCUGUCUAUCCAUCUACUUCUCAAGCCCCACCUCCUGCUUCCCGCUAUUAUCCAUAAUGAGAAACUUUUCCUUCCCAGCCUGGAAGGUCCAGCUGUAUCUUCUUGAAAUUGGGAGGGAGGGGGGCGGAUCUCAGAGAAGAAAGAAAGGGAAAAAACCCACAUUAAAAAAAAAACCCACCAGUUAAAUUCAAACCACAUGCACCACAGCCCCUGCCAUGUGGGCCUCUGCUGCCACCUGUGGGCGUCUGGUGGAAGUGCAGUUCUUGGGGCUUCAGCUUCCUCACUGGAGCCAUAGGCUUAAUCCUGAAGCCUGAAAUCAGGAAGGAAGGUCAAGCUGUCCAUCCUCCACCUCUGAGCAUGACCUCACCCCCACCACCUCUGCUGCCAGGAAGCCUGGUGGGGAAUUUAGAAUCCAUCUACACCUUCCCUUCUCCCCCAUUUGUUUACAGAGGGGGAAACUGAAUCCCAGAGUGGAGAGGAAUUUGGCUAAAGUUGCAAAGCAAGACAGUCAAUAGAUAAGUAUUGUACACCUACUGUAUGUCAAGAGACCUGGUCUCUGCUCUUAUGGAUCUUCUGGUUGUGGAAAGCAGGGAGCAGACAUUGAGACCGUCCUAUUUCCAUCUAACUCCCAGCCAUCCAUGGAAGAGAAUACAGCCUCCUACCUUCUCAUUCAAGGUGCUCUGGGCUUGGCUUGACUUCUUGUUAAUGUGCUCUGUGACCCUGGUGAGGUCACUCAGCUUCUCUGAUAUGCCAGUUACUUGGGGUCAAAUCCCAGCUUUGCCACAUCCUGACUUCAUAACCUCAGGCAAGUUGCUUUGCUUCCUGGAGCCUUUGUUUCCUCAUCUGUAAAAUGGCCAUAACAGGAAUACAUAACUCAGAGGACUGGUGUGAGGACUAAAUGAGAUAAUACAUGAGAAACAGUGCCUCACUAAACAUUAGCCAGCUGUAUACAUGAGCUCCCACCAAGGAUACAGUGAGCACACCUCAUUCCCAGAGGUCUAGGAGGGGGCUGGGAGCGCAGUGGGUACGGGGGUCCCUUCUGGGCUAAGAGUGCACCAGCAAGGUUCAGCAGUUAGAAGUCGGGCCUGAGUCCCAGCAUAAGGAAUGAGGGCUACCACCUCCAUCCUCCUUUCAGCCAGCAGGGACAGUUUCUGGAAGGAGUGGUGAGGUUGGAGUCCCAGCUGGACCCCUCUGGGGCAAUAGAUGAAAUCUAGCCUGUGCAGAAAUCAUCCCCUUCCUUCAUUUCUCCUGUCAGCAUAUGAAGGACCCUGGGUUCACAUUCCGUCUCUUCCACUCACUGCCUGUGUGACCAUGGCUCCUCCACCUCCCUGAUCCUCAGUUUCCUCAGCUAGGCACUUCUCACUGAGAGUCAUGCAGUGUGGUCGGAUAGUGCUGGGCUGGAAUUACCUUGAAGGCAUCCUCACUCACAAAUUGGUGAUUAAUGCUGGCAUUUGGCUGGACCUCAUCUGGCCUGUCAGCUGGCAUACCUACACAUGGCCCCUGCAUGUGGCCUGGGCUUCCCCACAACGUGGAGGCUGGGUUUCAAGAAUGAGCAAGCCAAGAGAGCAAGAUGGAAGCACAUGGCAUUUUUAUGACCUAGCUUUGGAUGUCACAUAGUAUCAUUUCUGCUGUGCUCUGUGGUCAAGGCAGUCACAAAGCUUUACCCAGCUUCAAAGGGAGGGGACCUGGACCUCGUCUUUCUGUGGGAAGAGUCAAUACCACAUUGUAAGAAGAACAUGUGGGCCAGGCGCAGUGGCUCGCGCCUAUAAUCCCAGCACUUUGGGAGGCCGAGGCAGGAAGAUUGCUUGAUCCCAGGAGUUCAAGACUAGGCUUAAUCUCUAAAAAAUAUUUUUAAAUUAGCUGGGCGUGGUGGUGCGCACCUGUACCCCCACCACUCAGGAUGCUGAGACAGGAGGAUCGCUUGAGCCCAGGAGUUUGAGGUUGCAGUGAGCUGUCACGCCACUACACUCCAGCCUGGGUGACAGAGUGAGACCCUGUCUCAAGAAAAAAAAAAAAAAAAAAGCAUGUGAGAUGAUAGCUAUCUUCAAAACAUACAGUCUACCUGAAGAUGAUUAUGAGGAAAACAGCUCAUUGUAGCCUUGACAUCCCAGAGCUCAAGUGAUCCUCCUACUUCAGCCUCCUGAGUAGCUGGGACCACAGGUGUGUGCCACCAGGUCUGGCUAUUUUUAGUAUUUUUUGUAGAGAUGAGGUCUCCCUGUGUUGCCCAGGCUGGUCUCGAACUCCUGGGAUCAAGUGAUCCUCCUGCCUCAGCCUCCCAAAGUGCUGGGAUUACAGGCGUGAACUACCACACCCAGCUAUUUUUUAUUAUUAUUGAAGUGACCCCUUCACUUUCAGUCUCUGCCAUUGAACCCUAUGGACCAUCACCCUCACCAGUUGUGCAGUCACAUGUCCACAGAAGACCCCAACAGGAGUGUACACAGACACACAGAGGAGUCCACACAGAGAGGACACAGGUCGUGUCACUCAUAAUCCCACCCCAGGUGCAUACACGCACCCACCUAAGCAGGGCACUGUCCCCAUAGCAGGAAGAUCCUGAGGCUCUAAGGAGCUCUCCUUCCCAUUCCCAAAGCACAUUCCCCAGAAUUAUGGAGCCCACCCUGAGCAGCCAGUCCCCAGGGAGCCCUGUGGCUUGGACACUUCCCUUCUAGCUGCCUCAGAGGCCUGGGAACUCUGUGGAGCCUUGAGAGGCUCCUCUUUCCAGAAGAGAGGGUCUCUAGGAAACAGGACCUGACCAGGGAAGGCAGGGGGAAGGGAGGAGAGGAGAGAAGAUAGGGGGAUGGGAAGAAGACAGAGUCCUCAAGCAGGAACAGAUGGAGAGACUGAGGCCCCAAGAAGUGAAGUGUCCUGCCCAAGGUCACUUCCCCAGUAAGUGGCCAAGCCAGGAUUUGGGAUUGAGCUUUCUGGCUCCAGGGCCUGCCUUCUUAAUCUCUCUACCCAAAAAGUCCCUCUUUUGGAACUUUCAUCUCCUUGAUGAACUGAGCACCUGAGGAAGGCAGCGGCUGUCAGGGAAAUGGAUAGCCCAUUAGGUUGGGAACAUCCCGUACCAACCCUAUGCUUGUGGACUUUGGUGGGGUCAGGAGCAUCAGACAGUCUGUGUGGGCCAUUCGCCAGGGCCGAGUUCCCAGGGAAGAGGAUCUUCUUUGACUCUAGCAUUGCCUGUGGAUGGCAGUUUGUUUACCACCUAAACCUUCAGGAGAAUCUGUUCAUGUCACUGUCUUGGAACAAAGGAGGCUGAAGAAAGGCAACCACCACACCAGGGAGGUGGGGGUUGGGGGAGCCCAGCUGUGUGCACCAGGCCAGGGGAGGUGGAGUGGGGCUCUCCCCACUGGGGAGAGGGUGGGGUUUAGGAGCCUGGGCCCUGGAGGUGGCUGGUAGAACUGGGUUCUACCUCUUACCAGCCAGGUGACCUCUCUGAGCCUCAGUUUCCUAGUUUGUAAGAAGGGAGAGUAAUAAUAAUAGAGUUCUUGAUGUGGGGCUGCUGUGGGGAUUAAAGGAGCCAGGACGUGUAAAGUGAUGGUAGGGUGCCUGGCCCCUGAGAAUUGUCCAAACAGCAUUAGUGGUGUGGCAAUUCUGAGAUUAUGGGGUUCCUAGUCUUCCAGUUUGGGCAGCUCUGGGGCCCAGGCACUCUCUUGACAAAGAUUUAAUAGGGUUGUGCCUCCACUCCCAGGAGCCUGAUGAGGCCUGCUGCCCCAGUACCGGCAUUUCUCCUUCACCACCUGCAUCAUGCUUGCCAUUUCUUUCUCAGUUCCUGUCUUCCUGUGUAGACUGUGGUGCCCAGUAGGGCACAGACCUCUUUCCUUACCUUUAAAUCCCCAGCACAGUGCUUGGCAUCUAAUAGGUGCUCUAUAAGUAUUUAUUGAACUAAUCAACUAAUGAAUAAAAUAAAAAUGCAAUUGAUUACUCAUGCAUUAAA
Homo sapiens (human) is the source of this 7403-nucleotide long non-coding RNA. RefSeq lists it as uncharacterized. Lineage: Eukaryota; Metazoa; Chordata; Mammalia; Primates; Hominidae. The transcript is spliced from 2 exons. The record is from RefSeq and is a predicted model, not a curated record.